UUCAUAACAAUAUUGUUUUCUACUGUUAUACAUACAUGCAAUGUCAAAGUGAUUAUGCUCUUUAGUUGCUAGAGUUUUGUAGUGAUUUCUUGAAUGGUGAUUGUUUUUCUUUCCUAUCUUUAGAUGAAUCUAAAUAAGCCUUAGGUGCCAGUGUUUUGUUAUAGCUAUGUUGUUUCCUGGAACUUCUUGGAUCUUUGUUGUGAG
This 204-nucleotide unclassified non-coding RNA is filed under the name Hevea brasiliensis (rubber tree). The record is from RNAcentral. Lineage: Eukaryota; Viridiplantae; Streptophyta; Magnoliopsida; Malpighiales; Euphorbiaceae.